Molecule: long non-coding RNA, 25276 nt
Filed under: Heterocephalus glaber (naked mole-rat)
Lineage: Eukaryota; Metazoa; Chordata; Mammalia; Rodentia; Bathyergidae
Description: lncRNA (ENSHGLG00000046740.1)
Source: RNAcentral
CUACAAAGGACUCGCCCCUCUGCCGCCGACUCUCUCGAAUCUGUCUCAUCUCUCUUGACUCGGCUGCCCUGGUCCUUAAUCGCUGCGCCCCAGCUCCCUCGCGCUGGAGCCUAGACCUGGCCCGGGCUCGCGUAGUGCGGCCUGCGCGUCGCCCGGACUCGACCUCCCCCCCGGGGUGACGCACUUCCGGCGCGACGGAGCCGCGGAGACGGCAGGCCCUCCCGACCCGCAGCGGUGCCGGCGCAGGAAGAAUGGCGAGCUCCUUCCCCCGGCGCCGCGGCGGGGCGGAAAGAAAGCCGACCUGCUGGCUUCCCGACCUUUUGAGCCAAGAGACCUCUUCCACAAGCUUCCUCAGGGCCAGGUUCUCGAGCGACACUCUGAAGGUGGCGUUUUUAAUCAGCAGAGCUCUCCAGCCCCAAGUUACCGUCCCCGAGCCUCGCUUGAGCCGAGCUUGGCCGUCUGCUCACGCCAGUGCCUGUGCAUUGCUGAGAACCCAGCUCCAGCCUGGGGACCUGGACCAAGGUGAAUAGAUUCCCCAGACUCACGGCCUCUCUGAUACUGCUUCUGGCAGCUCUGAAAACCAGACCCAACCUAAGAAUGUUCUGAUUGUGUCUCACACCGUCUUGGAGUAACUCAGGCCUGGAGGCAGUUUCUAGGGAUAGUGUGCCUGGCAGCCAAGUUUUAACAUUUUUUCUUCCUGGAAGUACUUAGUUGUACACGCGUUAUUACAUGACCGUUACGCAGAUUGUACAGGCACUGCUUGUUGCUUGCAGAGAGUAUUUUUAAUCUUUUUCUGUAUCCUACAGUAGCAUAGGCUUGCUACCAUAGAAAGUGUUGCAGUAGAAACAAAGAUGAUUAAGACAGGACAGAUGUCUGCAAAACACCAUUAUGUUCUAGAGGAGGGAAAAAGCUCAAGUGCAUAUUCUGAUGUCUAGUUAAAUAAUGCUUUUGUGUGCAAAGAAUGCACUUUUGGGCCGGGGAUUUAGCUCAGUUGGCGCUGCUCCUGCCUUGCAAGCACAAGGUCGAGAGUUCUAUCCCCGGUAUCAAAAAAAAAAAAGUACAUUUUGUUCUUAUUAUAUGGCUGUUUUUACUUUUAACCCCACACUUUAAAAAGUAAUUCGCAGCUUAGAAAACUAUGCAGAAAACCCAGCUUGAGCAGUGCUGGUAUUUGCUGCGAAGAUGAUGUAUUUAAAAUUGCGUGUAAUUCUUGGCGAAAAAAAUAACACUAGUGAAGAUGAUGUAGUCUGAACAGUGUGCCCUUUGCUUUAUUUCCUUAUACUAAAUAGAAGAAGAUUAGCUUCCUGUCUUUAGGUAAAUCACUACAUUUUAGAACUGCAGUUUCCUCUUCACUAGAGAUAUUAUUUGAUCAUUAAAGUUUGGUUCAAAAUUUUGCGCAUCUCUUUUAUGGGGCAAGAAGAUAAUAAAAGAUUUAUGCCCUCUCCUUUUUUUUUUUCCGUACUGGGGAUUGAACUUGGGACCUUGCACUUGCCGGGCCGGCGGAGGAACCACUGAGCUAAAUCCCUGGCCCUAUGCCCUCUUCUUAAGCACAGGCUUGUUGAAAAGCUCUAGGGAGAAAAAUCUGUGUAACUGCUUCUCCUAAAACAGUUCAUGGGUUUGUCACUUGAUGAUCAGUAUAGUCUCACUGAAAUGCCUUCUUAAAUUCCUAGUUAGGAAUCUUCAUGUUAAGUUAAACUGCUCAUUACCUCCUUUAUGGAUAGUUUAUAUACCUAAGGAUUAUAGAGGGAAGGCUGUGUUUUUCCAAGAUCUGAUUAAAGGUAUUAUAGUAGUUAUUUUAUAGCUAGUUAGCAUUACAAAAUUCCCGAGGAGUCUAGACCCAUAACAUGACCUUGCAUGUACCACAUCUUUACAGCAUAUAUUGUAACUAAAUAUACUGAAUCUUGGUUCUAUUCAGUGAUUAUUUCAAACCGAUGUUUUUCCCCCACAGUAAAAAAAAAAAAAAACCUAUAGGAUACCAGCACACACAUGCCCCAGAUAAAACAUAGCCUGUAAGCUUCGCAAGAGCACAUAUUUAAUAGAAUGCAAAGACUUUCUGUUGAAAGAUCAGCAUCAACAUUUAAUCAAGUACAGCUUGGAAAAAAUAACAAAAUAACACUUGAUUUUCUAUACCUCUUUUUUUCUUUGCUUUGUAAAGGAUUUCUUGAACUAGUGAAAAAAAAAGUACACAAAGCUUGCUUACAGACGAAUUACGGGAUAGAAGGAACAAAGAGAAAGUCACUAGUCAGUGGCCUCUACAUCAGAUUAUUAUAACUGAAAAUAGGUCAUCACAGUUUCUAAGCAGUUGCUCAUUUUUUAAGUCCUCUGUGGAACCAUCUCCAUGCCGAUGCCUUUAAGGCCAAGGGGUCUGCUAGCACCUUGCCUCAUUUACUAAUUUCUCUUGUUCAGCCUGAAGCGCUUGGUAUCUGAUCUUUUCAGCUCUUAAUGUGUAAUCCUUAAUAUAUCUUUAGUUAUUGUCAUUGUGAUAGCCUUUAGUGACUCUGCUUCUCAAACCCCCUGAAGAAGUCAGAUAUUUUUCAUGGGGCUAUAUCUGUAGUAAGUUGAUUUUUUUUUUUAAGAACUUGUUGGAUUUCAGCUUCAGCAAGCUCCUACUUCCAAACCUAUUCUCACUAGGAAUACAACUCCUAAAAAUUCAUAAUUAUUCCCAUCUCUAUAGACAUUUUCCACAUACAGCUCCCUCUGAUGGCUUUUAAAACUGUAGUAGUUCAUUUAGUAACCAUUCAGUAAUGGUUAUACCUUCCCCAGAUGCUCUGCACAUAGCCUGCUAUCAACAGUCCUCUCUAGUGAUUCACAAACUUUCAGCAGCGUUAGCAUCUCCUGAGGACUUAAAAACUCAGAUUGAUACCAGACAAUGUUUUGACCCGGACAUGGUAAAAAUGAGAUGGGCUAAAUAUUGCAAGUGUACAUGGUCCUGCACAGGCAAAGCUUUAUUGCUGGGGAGGGUCUAAAGCCAAACUGUGGCUUUGCUUAUGGGAGUAAACAGUCCAGAGUGAACAAGCUGCUGUUUUCAGAACAGAGGGCAACAGGUUUUUACUCUUUUUCUGGGAUGAGCUAAAUUCCAGUAAUUUUCAUUGGUUAGAAGUAGGUUCCAAAAGAUGUUUCUUUUUGUGUGGACUUAGACGACUGGCUAGUAAAGUUCAACUCAUCUCAGAAGCUCUUGAGUUUUCCUGUAUCUGGAAAAUCAUCCUGUGCAAAGUAUCCCACCCUUAUUCUUGGCAUGCCGACAAGUGGUCUCCUGGGCUGCUCAGGAACUGCUAACUGAUACUCUCCCAGCUUGAGUCAUCAUCUUGCAUAAAUGACCUCUUGUUAUAAUAGGACUUUAGUGUUUGAGCUGCUGAAAAAGCACAAGGCUGGGCAUGAGAAACACCAACUCCAGUGGGCAGUAGGUCAAGCUAGCCCUGUAUCAUCUUGGAUAAAACACUUCUUUAAUGUUCAGCAUGUCUACAUGCGGAGCUGAUUAGAAUCAGACUCAUGGAUUAAGACAGCAAAGCAGAAAGACACAAAAUGAGGACAGAUGCCAAGCCUUUUAUCCCAUUUUAUUCACCCAUUGAACAUCUGCAGGCCCAAGUGAAGAGUCAGUAUUUUCAGCAGAAGUGGCCUUCAGGUCCCUGGGAAGUAACGCAGGCAACUGUUGUUAAAACCCACACAUCAGGGUGUUAUCUGGAGCAAAGCUACUGAGAAACUAAUAAUUAUUACCCUACCAUUUUACCCCAAAUUAGGAAUUUUAAGUUGACUAAGAGCAAGUGAAGCUUAUUUACACUGGGUUUUUUGGGGGGAGGAGCAGGGCGAUGGAUAACAAUUUCUCAUUUCAUGCAAACAUUUUGCUUUUGUGGUUUUGUCAGCAUCUCAUAAUUGGUCUGUUGAAACAUGCCAUGCCUCAAAGGGUAGUAGUUUACAGCACACAGGAUUGUGUUUUGCCGUCCCAGCCUCUGCCCCAUCAGUUAGGUGGUUCCUAACUGUUUCAGAAUUUCUGGACUCAGUUUUCAGGCUGAGUAAAGCUGGGCUAGAAUCUCAUUAUUUGCAUAAAAUUCCUAAAUGAUGCUGAUACUGUGUAAGGAUAAACAAAAUUAUGAAUAAGGAAACUUUCAUUCUCCCAGGUGCAAAGAAAAGAGAAAAAUACCCCCGCAUAUUUUCGUUGAACAUUUACUUUAGAAAAUACUUGCCUUUAUGUGCCUCUUUGAAAUGCAUAUAAAUCUUUCUAAAAAGCUAAGCUAGCCUCUCACUAGUUUUACAACCCUUGAACAUUUUCCCAAGGAAGACAACACCCAUAUCUUCCAGUUUCCUGGAAAGAUAAAAACCUAACAUCAGCAGACACCUGGUUCCAAAUUGCAAACCUACCUCCUGUCAUAAAGAUAGGAUAAAUUUAUUUUUCCUUUAAACAGUUAACACAGAUGAUCACCAAAAUUACCAGGUGAAUUUAGUAUGAACUCUGACAAAUGGUGCUGUCCAAUCCUCUUACUGGAGAACUAUUUACAUCAUACAUGUAUGUAAUGAGUUGCAUCUGCUUAGCUGUAUCAAAGUAGAGUUCGUCUUGUAAUUGCAAUAGUGUUUUGCCUAUAAUGUGCAAAACAUUCCGAUUUAAUGCUUAUUCAGUCAAAGCAAAAUAAAAAACAUUUCUUUCUCUUCUUUGUAUAAAGGUUUUCUGGAUUGCAUAGAGAUUUUGUUUUUAACUGUAUUUCUCCAACAUUAGCUGAGGACACACUUUGACACACACUUUAUAGUGUGAACCUAAAUGGAGAACUUGAAAUUUCUCUCUAGAAUUUAUCUUACUACUUUCAGCCUGUCCUUUGGAACAUUAGCUUUUUUGCAUUUUGAUUCUGUUAUCCUUCCCACUUUUUAUCAUCUGUAAAGUUGAUAAACCUAUUUUCCUAAUCAUUGUGGGAAGAUCUGAAGGUGGCUGUAAGAUGCAGUGCUUACAUUGUUAGUCAUUGGAUAGCUGUAUAGCAUGUACUGUCUUACAUACUAGGGAUUCAGCUGUGAAUGAAACAAUCCUGACUCUAGUAGCUUACAGUGGGGAAGACAAAGAAACUGGCCACUGAUGUGUUAAGCUGCAUCAUGCUGCAGUAGGAGGGAAGACCUUGCUGGUAACACAAAGGGGUGCACCUCACCAAGGUCUUGGGAUCAGGAGCAGCUUCUUUUAAGAGUUGGCACACCUGCUGCCCAAAGGAAAGGUAGCAUUGUGGUAGGGGGAGAAGGAGUAUUAGUCCAGGCAAAGCAAUAGUAUUUGCAAAAACCAGACAUACUAGAAUAUACAAUGUGCACUUAGCAGGAAAAUGAAAUAUCAAUAAAAUAUCAAGUAUGUACUGAGUAUUUAGAAUAAACAACAUUUUCUACAUCAACUGUUUACUUACAAAAUCUAAAAAAUAAUAGAAAAAAAUUCCUAUGUGAACUACAAUGAAAAUACAAAACCUCCCACAAAAAAAAUCAUUACUUUAAUUAUCAUACCUAAGGCAGUUUUCACACAUGAAAACAGCAUGUUCCAUAUACAAGUACUGCUUACUCUUGAUAGUACUGUAGACAGCUAAGCUAGUUAGAAAACACUAUAGGCAGUUAGGCAGGGCCAGGCCCUCGGCACCGAAGACAACUGUGUCUGAGGCGCAUUCACUGAAGGCCAGCCUUCAGGAGAGGAACAAGGACACCCACAUGCUUCCCCUCAGGAGGAACAGAGGAACUGAUGUUCUAAAUACAUCAGUCACCUUGGGUAGGGACCAGAACCUUCCUAGCCCAUUACUUCUGGGAAAUCCUUGUUCAUCCCAUGUAUACUUGCUAUGUGACUUGCUUCUCCAUUUAAUCAGUAUUACCUAAGUGACUAUACUUUCUGUAAUCUUAUUGGCUGACCAUAGUUUUGUCCCACCUCAUACCCACAUUGUUAUUUCCCAUUGGAUCAAUAUUACCUGAGCAACUAUACUUUUCAUCUUUUUAGUUGACUAUACUUUUGUCCCACCUUGAACCCACCUCACCUCAUAGCUUUACUCAAAAAAACACCCUGGAGAAGCAAGGUUGGUGGGGAACUCACUUUCCAGCCCCUCUUCUAUCUCUUAGAAGCUGUCUUUCAAUGAGUUCUUCCUAGCCUCUGUUGUUCCUAAAAUUCAUUCUUUGAUUUUAGAGAACACAAACUCAGCAUGUUCGCACAUCUAGCAGGUUGAGAAUUAGAGUAUUUCCCUUACAUUAUUUGGAUUACUUGGAGGUUCUGUAUCAUCCAUACAUGGUACACUCCAAAUCAAUAGCACAUGUGUUUUGUUUCCCUUUGUUGAUUGAUAGGUAAUACUUGACUUUUUGCUGGUCUUCCUCUUUGAAGUUCAUGUGAUGUUUCACCUGUCUCUUCACCAGUAUGCUUCACAAUUCUUUUGCCAAGUUCUCUGAGUAGGUACAGAUUGUUCUUCCUCUGUUAUAAUUGAUCAUAUAUCAAUUCCAGUCCCACUCCUCUAAGAAAAUUUUGUGAUAUUUUAUGCUUGUUAUUUUCUUUGUAGAUUAUGAAACUAUGCCUGACUGUUUAAGAUUGAAUAAAACAUAACUAUUGGCCAGUGCUUUGUGUUUCUAGUGACAUCAUAGUUGCUGUAUAACUCAACAACAUCUACUCUGCCUUUUUUUUGUGUUGUAGAAUGUGACUAUUUCUACCUUCGUUUGUGUUGAGGAUUCACUAUCCAUUUUGUUUUGUUUUGUUUUGUUUUGUUUUGUUUUGAGACAGGGUCUUGCUAUGUAAUCCAGGCUAGCCUUGAACUCACUAUGUAGCACAUCCUGACCUUGAACUCACAGGAUCCUCCUGCCUCAGCUUCCCAAGUGCUGAGAUUACAGGCAUGCACCACCACACCGGGCUUCACUAGCAAUCUUAUCAACCUGGUGUAACAUUAUGAGAGUGUCAUUACUACUUUAUUUUUUUUUGCCGUAUAGGAGGCCAAUGUUAGAUCUUUCUGAAAUGCAGAGAUUGUACUAUACAUUCCUCUCUUGAGAACUUGCAACAUUUUGGAGGGUAAUCUCCACUUUGUUCUUGGGAAUAGUUCCAGUGCUGGUCACCUGGUAUUCUUUUAGCAGAUAUAACAUCAGUUGGUUACUAGUGAACCAAUUGUCAAUUGUGACAAUUAGGUUACUUUUUAAAUAGAUGGAACAAGUCUGUUUACAACAUCAGAUAGUUUAUUACUGCAGGAAUAAAAGCCUACUGGCAGAGUUCCAGGAUAAAUUUCUAACUUCAAGGUAUAAAAUGACUUCACCUACCAGAGGAUAUAUUUUUACACCAUACUUGUCAAUAGGGCAUAUGAUAGAUGGACCUGCAAAUAAUAUAAGGAAAAUAUUAUAGCUCCCAACCUGCUAGAUUCAAAGGUUAAAAUAUGGAUAUCUGCCUUUUGGGCUUCUUUUGUAAGCUAAUAGAGAGGUUGUGGAAUUUUACUGUAUCUUGCUAUCUAAAGGCGACAAAAGCCUAUAAUUCCUAGGAAUCCCCUUAGCUGUUUUAGAGUCUGGGCUGUGGGAAGGAAAGAAUUGGUUUAAUUCUUUCUUCCCCCAGCUUUUAGGUCCCCUUGGAUAUGAUAUGGCCCAAAUAUUUUACCUCAAGGCUGCAAAGUUGUGCCUAGAUCUAGAAAUCUUAUAAUUCCUGUCUGCCAAAAAAUUUAGCAGAGCACAGGUGCCUUAGCUAGAAAGCUCUUCUGAGGGGGCACAUAACAAUAUGUCAUCUACAUAUUGUAAGACUGUGACUUGGGAAAAACUACAGUGUUUAAACAAGAUAAAAUAUCUCUCCCCAGGAGAGGAACUGGACAUUUAGGCAUAAUUAAGAGGAAUGUGUAAAAAGAAAACUGUCCCAGUUAUAGCCCAAAAGUUUUGAGAAAUAGUUACCUCCUCUCAAUAGUGGCUACUUUCACUGAGGUAUGCCAUCUGGAAGGAAGGCCAGGGUUCAAAAGAAGGACCAAGAGACAUGCACCAGUGUCCAGCAAUAGGUGGUUUGUUUAUCCCUGUAGUCAUCAUUACCUGGGGCUUCUCCAUGGAGACGACUGUCCAGCCAGAGGGAGGGCACAGAGAGUGCCCUGGGGCCCUUCAGUCUUGCUGCACUGUCUGGUAAGAUGGGUCUGUGCUCUGGGGCACCCACCUCAGUGCAGUCUGACUCCCGCUGGCCACCUUGGCAGUUGGGGCAUGACUUACAGGAAUUCUGUGGCAGUCCCUCUUAAGGUGGCCUGGCUCCACAGCAGUGCAGGUGAGAUUAGUAGCUGUUGAGCUCUCUUCGGGCCCCCCAAACCAAACAUAGCAUUGUUCCUUUAAGGCUGUGAUUAAAGCAGCCUCAUCCUUUUGGUCUCUGUUUUCUUCCCUUGGCUUCUUCCAGAUCUUGAUUAUAAAAUACUUAGAAGCCAGUUUUGACUAAAGUAUCAAGUGAACUAUCUGGAGCAAAAGCCAGAAAAAUAUUAAAUGGCUCCUUUUUUUGUUUUUUUUUCCUUAGUUCUGGGCAUCGAACUUGGGUCCUUGCACUUGUGCAGCAGGCAGCGAAACCACUGAGCUAAAUCCUCAGCCCAAAAUGGCUCUUUUUCAACAUGUGAGGGUCAAACAUUUUCCAGUGCUUAAGAAUACAUUCCAGGGCCAGGAUUUAGCUCAGUGGUUCCACCGCCUGCCUCGAAAGUGCAAGGUCUUGAAUUCGAUCCCUGGUACAUAAAACAAAAAAAGAAUACAUUCCAAAGGAGUAGGAAAUUUUGACAUUGAGUAUCCCAUUUGAAACAAGAAAAAGAAGCUGGCAUCCCUUUUAAUUUCUACUUGAUUCUUGUAUCUGCAAAGCAUCUCCGAGAUGACUACUCCAGAGUGGGAGCCAACCUCUGGAGAGAAACUAUAAGAUAGGUCAGGAUAAGUUAAGCCACCGUUACUGGCUCAAGACCCUGUCUUCCCCAAGAAACUCAUAUUCCUUAUUCUAGCAGAUGUUUCUAAAAGCUCAAGCUAUAACUGAUUCUAUCUGUAAAAAACAUUGCCAACAAACCAAUAUCAAGAGAUCUAACUCAUUAUUUUCUAAUUCUUUGAAAGAGAGUUAAAAAAUAUCAAAGAGCAAGUUGGAAAUAGUUGGAGCACUUCUCAGCCUAUAAAAGAGAUCACCACGGGCCGGGGAUUUAGCUCAGUGGUUUCGCCGCCUGCUGCGCAAGCACAAGGACCCGAGUUCAAUCCCCAGUACCAAAAAAAAAAAAGAGAGAUCACCUCUAGAAAUAGAGUCAGGUAAAAUGGCUCAGAGAAAUCUUGCCCUGGGCCUGAGGUCAGAAAAGCCUCUAAGACAUUCCUGUUAUCUACAUAAUCACCUCAGCAACCUUCUCUUGGGCCAGUAGGCUGAAAGGAAGCUGAUCAGGCAAGGUUCUCAAUGAAAAGAAUGUCCAUGGAGCAGACAUUACAAAGCAGGAACCAAACUUUAAUCUUACAGCAUACCACUUAUAGUGGCUGUUACCAUUUUCUCUGAGACACAGUAAGACAAAACAGCCGUGUGACUUUGCAUAGCCAUGUGGUAUGUGCAUGGUCGUCCAUGCUGAUUUAUUAUUAUUAUAACAAACUCCUCAUGCACCUGCACUAAUGACAGAGUUGAGUCCUCAGGUGCCUCAAGUGCCCUCAGUCACCCAGGCUUUGACACAUCUGCCAGUGGCCCCCUGCACCUUCCUUAGCAGCAGGACAAGGCUACACUUUAUUCAAGGUCUAAUCUAAAAUUUCUGUCUCUGAAGCCCACAGGUUAAACUUAUACUCAUCACCCAGCAACCACAAUUCACAUGUUAGUAAAGGCACAUUUAUCAGGUUUUUGUGCACACGUGAAAGAAGAGAAAGGCUGACUAAAAUCCCAUUUUUACUCUUAGCAUAUAUAAAGCACAAAUGUAAAUCACUAGCUGAUUGCUGUUCUCCAUGAAAGGUAAAUGGUUGUUGUAAGCUGCCUCAUCCUGACUUCCUGGAAGGAGAGGGGGUCUAACUACAAGAUAGUUCUAAAGUUAACUCCCAAACAGUUGAAGAAAAGCUUAGGGGGAGUUUUUCACUUACUAGCAGAAAGAAAAGGUACAGAUAAAAGCCAAAGAUGUCUAAAACCUACCCCCAAAAAAAUUAUUACAUAGCAUUUGACAAGUUCACAGUAAAAGUUUUAAAGUGUACAACUUAUUUGCAAAAGUAUUUCCCUCCCUUACCCACAAAAAUCAUGAAAACCAGAUGUAGGGGAGAGAGAGAGAGAGAGAGAGUGAGCGCGCGCGCCAGCCAGGAUGUUAGUGAUUCUCUUAAACUAAAUAAGAGAAUCACUAAAUGUCCCUUAAAUGUCAUGCUUAGGAAAUAGCUCCUUUUAGUCUCACCCAGAAGUUGGUUCUUUUCACUGGGUCUCAGGUUCAGUCUCCAAGGAAGACUUGCCCAGAACACUGAGGAUGGAAAUCACUCGUUUUUUUUUUUUUUGGUACCAGGGAUCGAACUUGGGUCCUUGCACUUCCGCGAGGCAGGUGGCAGAACCACUGUGCUAAAUCCUCGGCCCUAGGACAUCACUUUUAUGGUGUUCUCUUGGACGGACUAAGUCUCAAUGUCUCAUCAGACCCAGAGAUGGGGUAUGUGUUCCUCAUCUAAGAUCCCUGUCGUUGGCAUUAGCGAUGCUGAUUUUCUACAGGCUCAACUUAAAGGUUCUUAGUUGUUGGAUAGGAGGGAAAGGUUGGGACAGUUUAGGAUUCUUUUUUCUCUAAUCUUCAUGCCUUUAAAAAGGAAAAUAUAAAAUGGCAGGGAAAGAUCAGAAAUAAGUUCAGCAAAGGAAGUCUUCUCAUGCUUAUGGUGAGUUAUUGAGACAACUUGGUCAUGAGUUGUCAGUCUCAGCCUGGAAAGGUGAGAAUAGGGAAUCUCAAGGGCUAAGAUUGCAUCCAUACCAGCAAAGGAUCAGACCAAAAAGGAAACUGGCAGAACAGGCUCAACAUUUUCUCUAUAGAGAAGGACUGAGCCAGAGCAUCUCAGUGAAACCUGUCCCGAAGUCUAGAACAGCUGCUGGCCUAUUGCCUUUAUUAACUGGCAGAAAGGGUCCCAUGAUUUUUUUUUUUUUUUUGAGAAGAAAAUUUUAUUUGGUAUUUAUUUGGUAUUGACCUGUGUGUUAGAAUUUUUUAAACCUUCCAGGAGCCCUCAGGCAGAACUCAUACUGUGACUUAUUAAUAGCCAUGUAUAUUUCUUAAAUAUAAACUAGAUUUGAUUUUUUUAAAGAAAACCCAUUUUACAGAAUUUUAUAUCAAAAUCUACCAGGGGGCUAUCUAACACUGCUUUUUCCCUAGCGCUGUCUGACAAGUCAAACAGGUCAAGUAAAGAACACUGAUAAAUUCACCAACUGCAGGGCUGGGGAUUUGGCUCAGUGGUUCUGCCACCUGCCUUGCAAGCGCAAGGUCCCAAGUUUGAUCCCCAGUACAAAAAAAAAAAAAUCAGCAACUACAUCAAAAUGCAACAUACACAAAACAGGAAUAAAAUAUAAAAUGUCAUUUUCUUUUAAUGGGACAUAUCUUCCCAUGUUCUCAACUUAGAUUCACCAUCAUUUGAACAAAAGACAAUGCAUCAUGAAAGACAAGGCCUAAGCAAUUGACAAAACAUAAAAAUUUAUGGCAUGUGCAGUUAACAGAAAUUCAAGACAUAAGGCAUACAAUUCAAGACAAUUUUGAUUAAGUGACCCACAAUCCAGAAUCUAUGAAACAAAAGCAAACUCCUACCUCCAUCCAAUUGUCUUAGUAAGAGACCUCCAAAUGAUAUAAGCUGUAUGAGAUAUGGACCUCCAAAUAUAAGGGAAAUAUAACUCCCAACCUUCUAGAUAUCUGACAUGCUAAGUUCAUGUUCUCUAAAAUCAAAGAAUGAAUUCCAGGAACAGUGGAGGUUAAGAGUGGGAGGAAUUUAUUGCGAUAAACAUAACUUCCCUGGGGAUUUAGCUCAGUGGUGCAGCCACCUACCUGGCAAGCACAAGGUCCCGAGUUCAAUCCCUGGUAUAAAAAAGAAAAGAAAAAAAAAUAUAUACUUUCUGUCUAAAAGAGACAAGGGGACCCAGAAAGGGUUGCCUACAGACCAUACUUCUCAAGGGAGUUUUAUAGAACAAAGAAAGCCACAAGAUAAGGCAGGUAUAAGAUGAAGUGGAACAAACUAUAGUCAACUAAUAAGAUUAUAAGUAUAGUCAUUUAAGUAAUACUAAUCCAGUGGAAAAUCACAAGGUAGGUACAAGGUAGGACAAAACUACAGUCAACCAAUAAGAUUACAAGUAUAGUUGCUUAGAUAAUAUUGAUUAAAUGGGUAUCAGAUGGGGAAGCAAGUCACAUAACAAGCAUACAUGAACAAAGGAGGAUUUUCCUGGAAGGAAUGGGUCAGGGACCUUUCCUAGAGGGGAUGGGUUAAGGUCUUGGUCCCCCACCCAGGAGAUUGAUGCCUCUUUAGAAUAUUAAUUACUGCUGUUCAUCACUAGAAGUGUGUGGGUGUAGUCAGUUCUUUUUAUCUUAAAGCUUGGCCCUCAGUGAAUGCACUUCCAGCCACAGUUGUCUUCUGCACAGACUUCUUUGAGGGCCCAGCCCUGUCUGACUACCUAUAAUAUUUCUAACUUCUAGCUAACUUAGCUCUUAACAGUACUUGAAAAGUUUAUUUGGUAUAUAUUGCCGAAAGCUUCAGCUACCACAAAAUGAUGCAAGUUGUUCAUGACUUGUCAUGUAUUUGGGCAGUAUAUUCAUUGCUUGACAGUGCGAAGCAAAGCUUUCAAAAAAUGAAUGAACAGCGGCGAUAUUAUUGGAUUUUUUUCUCUCUUGAUGGGUCUUUUUGUGAAAAUGUAGGCAAUUUUAGGGUCAGGGAUUUAGCUCAGUGGUUUCGCCGCCUGCUGCGCAAGCGCAGGCACCCGAGUUCGAUCCCCAAUACCAAAAAAAAAAAAAUGUAGGCAGUUCUGAAGGAAACCACAUCUCUUGAAUGUCAGUAGUGUUCUAAAAAUCUCAAUGUCACUUCUCUUACUUCUCCAUAAAUCCUCUAGAUUCUGACGAUUAGAAUGAUAAAAUCCUUCUGUGAAGGCUUUUAGUUCAGAUAGUGAGGUCAUGAUAAAUAUAUGUUUGGGUACUCUUGAUACAUAUAGAAUGUUUUACUUGUAUUUCAGAAUUAAUAUAUUUCAAAAUAUCUUGUAGCCUAUCACCCAUUACAGACAAUUUCCAACAUUGAAUCACACUGUUGGUAUUCUGUCCAAUAGGUUUCACCCCUGGUAAGAACCUAAUAACAUUUUCUGACCUAAUUCUAACAUUGGAUCGUUCAGGUAUGCAUGACCAUUUUGUAGGAUUUUGACUAGUUAAAUAUUUAUUUACAUUACUAUUUUCCUCCUCAUCUGAAUCAAGAUCUUCAUCCUGUACAUCUUUGCCAUAUCUUGCUCCAUCUCACUGUCACAACUUCUUUGGCUUACAUGAUCCAAGUAAUCAUUGCUAGCUGAAUCGAAUUGCCUAAUGGCUCACUUUCAACCUCCUCCCAAAGUUGUAAAAGUGGAUUAUCAUGCGACAUUGUACUGGAUUAGGCUAAUUCUACAAGAAGAAUCAAAACAUUUAAUACAACAAAAUAUAAAUAUACCAAAAUGUAACACAGUGCAUAACAUGGGUAAAAUUCACCUGUUGUUACUUUGAAAAACAUGCAUACACCUUGCCAUUCAUCUACAAAGUGGGUGAACACAAAGAUUGCUUCCUGUAUUCCCCCAGCACAGCUACUGAGAUGCACAGCUGGCUACCAUUAUGCUAAAGUACAUAUUUUCAUUAGAAAAGUGUGGAUAGGAGUGUCUGUUACCCACCAAUGAUGCCCCUAAUUAAAUGAGAUGUUUCUUUUGGCUCUGUUUUAGAAAUUUCAGUCUUUGCAUGGUUGGAGGCAUGAUAGAACGGCCUGGCCAGAAGAAAACUGCUCAUCUCAUGGCAGAUAGGAAGCAAGAGAGAAGAAAAGGAGGAGCUGGGGAGGGAGAUACACCCUUCUAGAUCAUACCGCCAGGACCUACCUCUUCCAAUCAGACCCCACCUUGCAAUAGCAAGUCACCCAUAUAUCUCCAUAUUCCAAUCCCCUUCCAAACACCUGAAGCCUUGAGGAUCAUUUUAGAUCUAAACUCUUACAGUACCCAAGGCCUGAAUUGUAGUAGUUCACAUGUCAGAGGAAAAGGGUUCAGCCUGAGGUAGAAGUGACAGAGAUGGAGACAGAAGGAGAAAUUUGAGGUAUAUUUUGCAGAUAGAAAUGACACUCCUCAUAAGCAUGUGGGAGAGGAAAAUGUUUUUGUCUCCCCUUUCAGGCAUAUUGGAAGUUACAUUUCCAUUCUCUACAUACCUCCCCCACACACCUGUAUGUUACUGGGAAUUAAACCCAGGGUCUUCAUACUGAGCUACAUUUUCACACCAUUUUAUUUUUUAUUUUAUUUUUUAUUUUAUUUUAUUUUUCAGACAGUAGAUGGAGUGAUUGAUCAGGGUUUAAUGAUUUUUGGAUCUCCUUUUCCUUGGAGGUGAGGUGGGGACACAUAAUAGGUUGAUAGAGAUAUUUCCCAUCUUCAAAAACCUUACUGAAAAUGAAACCAGAAAAUUCAUUUAAAGUUAUGAAAAAUACAUUGACUGACCUUUGAAGUUCAAGUAAGCCCAAAAUGAGCAGGAUAAUUAAGACAAGUGAAAAGGCUAAGAAAAUAUAUGAAGCUUGACUAAUAAGCAUGUUUAAAAUAAAUAAUGUAUUUUCAUGAGUUAUUGAUGAUCUUAUAAUUCACGAUUGCUGAGAAAUUAACAAAAGAUGAUUUAUAAAAGGUCAUCAAGAGCAUGUAAGAAGGCGACAGCUCAUUGCUUACCUUCUAAUUAGAGAUGUAGAAAGAAGAUAAGCAGAGGGAAAAAAGGGAGAAGGUAUACUAGAAAAGGGUAUAGACUCAUUUAAUAAUGACCCCACCCCUCAAGUUUUUAUCCUUCCAGCCAAUCAAAAAGUAAUGUACUGGGCCGGGGAUUUAGCUCAGUGGUGCUGCUGCCUGCCUCGCAAGCACAAGGUCCUGAGUUCAAUCCCCAGUGCCAAAAAAAAAAGUGAUGUACUAUAUAGGAAGUAAGAUCUUUGCAGAUGUAGUGAAUUGAGGCCAUACCAGAUUAGGGUGGGUCCUAAAUCUAGUAUUACUUGUGUUCUUACAAGAAGAGGGGGAAAAAAAAGAAAGAAGAGGGGAGAACACUGAGAUACUCGGAGACACACAGGGAAGAAACCCAUAUGACAAGAGGCAGAGGUGGAGUCAUAGAGCUUCAAGCCCAGAAGCCAGUUGCCAGCAGCCACCAGAAACUAAGAUACCCGUGAACCUUGUUCUUCCCAGAGCCUCAGAGCAAGCUCUGCCUCCCUGGCACCUUGACCCUAGCCUCUGGAAGAGGUGAGAGAGUAUUUUGUAUUUCCACUGCUUUAAGUCACCUCAGUUUUGGCUUUAUUACUGCAGCCUGAGGAAACUAGUACAUAUAUCAAAAACACAUGUAUUUUUUAAAUUAGUGUUUAAUUCAGAAAGUGUGUGGUCCCUUAAAGACUAUGGAAUAAUCACGAUAAGAACCAUGCUUUUUAACUCAAAUAUUAAAUUCAAUAUUUAUAUUUGGAAAAGUCAGUGAGCAACGUAGAAUUCAGUCAUAUAUCUGAAUACCUAUUCUGUUCAAUAAAUUAUUGGAAGAUCAGAGUGCUAAGAGUGAGGAUUGAUUAAGAAUUUUAUAAAUUAUAGGCCUCAAAUAACUUCACUUGGUGCAAUAAAAGAAGAUAUAUUAUUAUAAAGUACUAAAUUGAACUGUAACUAAGGAUUGAAAAGAAAGGCACAAAUACUGAUGUUUAUGAAGCAUUAAAGAAGAUAUAAAAAGUGGGAAAUGCAGCUAGGCAUGGUGAAUACUCCUGAAAUCCCAGCUCUCUGGGGAGCUGAGGAGAAGGAUCAGAAGUUUGAUUUCUAGGAAGCAUAUUUAUUAACUUUAGCCUUUUCUUUAUAUGAUGCUUUAUAACCAUUAGUAUUUGUGCCUUCCUUUUCAGUCCUUAGCUACAGUUCCUUUAGUACUUUAUACUAUCUUCUUUAUUGCACUAAAUUAAGUUACUUAGCAAGGCCCUAUCUGAAAAUAAAAAAUGGAUGAGGAUGUUGCUUAAUGAAAACAAAGGCUCAGUGCAAAGGUUCAAUCCCCAGUACCAUAAGAAAAGAAAAAAAUUCAAAGGUUUUGUAGCACAUUCUUGAAUGCAAAUGUUGAUGUUUUCAUUUCAAAUUAAUUAUUUUUAUUUAGUAUACUCCAUUUUCUAAUUGCUCUUGUUUAAUGCAGCAAUAAGCUCAAACGUUUUAUUAUUUGAAAUUACAGUUAAUGUUCAAUUAUCACUUACUUUAAAGUCUAUUUUUUAAUUUUAAAAUCAUCACUGUUCAUAUCCUAACAUUCAACUGAUUAAAAUUGGUUGUUACAUGUGUGGGAAGUCACCCUAUUGAAUUAUAGUUUAGUGCAUCUAUCUUCAAUUGCAUAAUCAUUAUUUUCAUAGUGCCAUUUUAAAUAUUCUAGUAUAAACCACCAUUGUUUGUUAAAAUAUGUAGAUACACAGAAAAAUAUUGGGAAUUUUUACUUAGGUUCCCUUAACUCACUGAUAUUUUUUAAAAGAGCUAACAGACCCCCCCCAGGACACACAACUUGGAGUCUAAUAUCACUUUGCAAUAAAAGAAACUAAGCUCCUUAGAGAAAUGGCUGACUAUAGGAGUGGAACACAGAAUGUACAAGAUGAGCCUGGAAUGUAUUGUAUUUCCUGAAAGUGAGGGGUUGUUCAAAAUACACACACACACACACACAUACACAGAUGGAGCCUACCAGAAAGACAUGGGAGCUUUCCAGAAAAAGCUUUCAGUGGCCAGUGCUGGAACAAAACAGACAGUGUCAUGUUGGAUCAUAACCCACUAAAUAAAAUAAAUAUCCAUGAGUCCAUACUCAUGGGCUAAUAAAUAAGUAAAAGCAGAGAAGAGAGAAAUCUGUAUAAAUGAUUUCAAAUAACUUGUUUAUGCAUUCCAAUCUUGAAGGAGCAGAUCUGAUUUCUCUAUCCCAUGAGUAUGGGUUGUGCAUAGUGCAUUGUUUCCAAAGAGUAUAGUGUGCAAAAGUAGGGGGGAAUGUAAUUACAAUGGAGGAACAUGGCCAGGUAAUCAAAAGUAGCAUUAUCCGUGAUGAGGCAAGCUGCUAAUGGGUGCCCUUGAGAAGAUGUGGUGAAGAUGGCCCUUCACCUCAUUGAUCUUCCAUCACCCCAACCCACAAUCCCAGUGUAAGCAUAAGAAAAACAUCAGACAAGCCAAAAUGGAGGGCAAAGAUUUAGAGUUAAGAAUCUGCACAAACCAAUUCACUUUAGCCAAGACAGAGAAGCAGACUAGAUGCCCAUCAGCAGAUGAAUGGAUAAAAUGUGGUCCAGAAACACAUAAUGGAAUAUAUGCACACAGUGGAGUAUUAUUCCUCCACAAAGAAGAAUGAAAUUCUGUCAUUUGCAAGAAAAUGGAUGGGUCCAAGACUGUCAUGUUCAAAAGAAUAAGCCUAAAGUCUCUAAAGACAAAUAUUGCAUACUCUCCCUGAAAUCUAAAAAGGAUGACAAGAAAGUAGAAGGGAGACUGUUACUAGACAAGAGAAAGGGAGUGAGUGAGAAGAGGGGUGUAUGGGAAGAUAAAUGGAGGCGUGGUGAUAUGAGCAGAAUAUGCCUAUUGAAAGCCCAAGAAUCUGAAACUAAGGGAGAGGGUAGAGCAAGCAGGGUGAUGGAGGUGAGUGUUACCAAGUGUGCGAUGUGCAUAUACAUGUCUGCCAAAAUGAAACCCAUUCAUUGUAAUUUUUUAACAAUGCACAGAGGCCAAGGCAAUCAGAUAGGGCUAUCCAGGGAACCAGCCUUGCACUUCUGCAGAGAGAUCCUUAGAGAACCUCAGCAAAGUGGUUUUGGUUUUUGGUUUUGGGGCGGUUGGGGGUUGGUACCGGGGAUGAAACUCAGGACCUUGCACUGUCGAGGCAGGCGGAACCACUGAUCUAAAUCCCUGGCCCCUUUAGCUAAGUGUUGAUGCGCUUGGAGUGAACCAACUAUAGAGGCCAAAGGAAGCAAGCAACAUAACCCUUGGGCUCACUGAGGGCUUGGGAUAUCUAUUCCUACCAGCCAAGGUGGAAGACACAACUCAUGGAACCAUCAAGGAGAAAGAAGCCACAGAAGGCUGCUGCCUCACAGAGGGGCAUGUGAGCCAUGGAAGAAAGCUUUGAAUGAAAAAAGAUCAAACUACUUUUAAGGAAAUCAACCACAUCCCAAAGCCAAGCUCAACACAGUUUAAGAAAUACAGAAAUCUUACCCAACAAGGUAAGAUUCACCAUGUCUUAAACUGAACAAAACAACAAAGAUAGGGCCGGGGAUUUAGCUCAGUGGUUCAGAUGCCUGCCUCGCAAGCGCAAGGUCCUGAGUUCAAUUCCCGGUACUAAAAAAAAAAAAAAAAAACAAGUAGAAAAAUAAUGCCACCAUGAAGAAUGAAACAAUUCCCUAAAAAAAGAGACCCAGAAAUGACACAAAUGAAAGAAUUAGUAGACAAACAUGUUUAAAACACCUACUAUAAAUCUACUCAGUAUCUUCACAAAGGCAGAGAAGAGCUUGAGCAUAAGGAAAUGAAAGAGCAAACACCCAAGUUCAGCUGCUGGAAAGGAAAAGUAUAAUAUCUGAGAUGAAAAUUCUAAGUUGAGUUAUCAAUAAGUUGAUACAAAAAAAAAAAAACCCUGGACUUGAGAACAAAAUUCUAGAAGCCGCACAAAAUCUUACCAGAAGGGAGAAAGACUAAAAAGGAAAUUUAUCUGGACAACAACAUCAAGCAACAAUGAACAGUUUAUGACUGGAGUCCCCAAGUGAGAGAGGAGGAACAGAGGAGCCAAGAACUUGUAUCUAGCACUGAUGAAGAACUCUUAAAACCAAAUAUGAUAACUUAAAAAAACUUUAAAAACUGAGUGGCAGAUUUGAACAGACGCUUGACUAAGGAAGGAAGAUAUACAGACAGCCAAAAAGCACAUGCAAGAGGCUCAAAAUCAUUAGUCAUUAGGGAAUCGCAAAUUAAAGUCACUAUACAACAUACUACAAUGGCUAAAAUUAAAAAGAUAGAGCAUCCUUAAUAUUAGCAGAGAUAUGGGAAAUUUAAACAAUAUAACUUUGGAAAACAAUCUGACAGUUUUUUACACAUUAAAAAUAUGCCUGCCAUGAAACACAACCAGUCCACUCCUAGGCAUGUAUGCAAAAGAAAUAAAACCAUGUUUCCAUAUACAGGCUCCUGCACAAGUAUUCAUAGGAGCUUUAACUGAAUAUAACUUUUAGGAGUGUUAGAAAUGUUCAUCGCCUAUUUUAUAAGCACAGUGUCAUAGUGUAUCUCCAAAAGUUGUAAUAAAAUCAAGUAUUAGGAAAUAAACAGAAAACGUACACAUUUAAAAAAGGAAAAUCAGGGCCGGCGAUUUAGCUCAGUGGUUCCACCUCCUACCUUGAUCCCCGGUACCAAAAAAAUAAAAAAGGAAAGUCAUAAUUUCUGAGGAGGAAAACAAAUAUGGUACUCACAAUUAUAAGAUGGCCCCAGGUGCCCACCCCUGAUGUACAUGCUAAAUACAAUCCUCUGAGGGUGGGCAGGAUCUGUGGCUAAGAUAUUACACCUGUUAUUAGGAUACAUUCUGUGGAAAUAAUGAAACUACAGAUACAAUGAGGGUCCCAAAUCAGUUGAUUUGGGAUUAUCAACAGGAAAAUUAUCUUUGGUGGGUGUGAUGUAAUCAAUUGAGCCAUUUAAGAAUAUCCUCAGAUAGGAGACUGAAAGCAGCAAAGAUGUUCUCCUACUGGUCUUGAAGGAGCAAAUUGUCAUGUUGUGAAGAGACCCCAGUGGCAGGGAAUCACAGGCAGCCCAUAGAAGCUAGGUAGUAUAGGGGAAAUAGAUGUAAUUCCCAAACCUGCUAGAGAUCUGAAACAUGAGUUCCUGUUCUCUAAAAUCAAAGAAUGAAUUGUAGGAACAAUGAAAGUUAAGAGUAAGAAAAAAUUUAUUGACAGAAAGAUAGCUUCUGUCUAAGAGAGACUGGAAAGUGGGUUGCCCACCCACCUUGCUUUUCAAAGGUGUUUUAUUGAGCAAAGCCAGGAGGUGAGGCAGGUUCAAAGUGGAGCAAACUAUAAAAUCCAAUGGAAAAUUACAAGGUGGGCAUGAGGUGGGACAAAACCAUGAUCAAUAAGAUUACAAGUACAAUCACGCCGGUAAUAUUGAUUACAUGGGGAUCAAAUGGGAAAACAAGUCACAUACAGGGAAUUUCCAGAAAGGAAAUGGGUUAGGGAGAUUGAUGUCCAUUUAGAAUAUCAAUCACUGAUAUGCAUCUCUAAGGUAAGUAGUACCUCUUUUCUUUUUAUAAUGCCAACCAGAGAAUGUGCCUCAAUUGUUUUUCUCUGCUGAGGCCCCAGCUUUGUCUGUCUUAUAAUAAUUUCUAACUAACCUAGCUAUUGGCAAUAUAGGGGCCUCAGUCCUGCAACCAUCAAAACUGAAUUACUUCAGGGCUGGAGAUUUAGCUCAGGGGUUCUGUCACUUGCCUCGCAAGCACAAGGACCUGAGUUCAAUCCCCGGUACCAAAAAAAAACCACAAAACUGAAUUACUCCAACAAUGAAUGAACUCAGAAGAGAGCCUUGAACCUCAGAUGAAUUCACAGCCCUGGCUGACACCAUCACUGCAGCUUUGUGAGACAGCAGGCAGUAAACCAUAACCAGAUUCCUAAUUCCUAGACUGAGGCAGUAUUUGGUUCGUGAUAGUCUGUUACACAGCCAUAGAAAAUGAACACAUGAAAAUUGAAGUUAUGCAAGUGAAUAUAUAAAUGAAUACAUGAAUGAAGACAAAAUGGCUACAUCAAAUGAGUGCUUAGUACUUCAGAGCAGCUGCUCACAGACAUAAAGAGUUAAGAAAAAUAAGAAUGAAACUCAAGAGAGCACAUAGGAAAUAUAGAGCAUAGCCCACGUGGCCAGUGCAUGUGUAUCUGAUAGAAGUUUCAUAAGGACCAAAUGGAAAAGGUAAUGAAGAAACAGUAUUUAUGAAUUAAAUAAAGACACGAACCCUUCUAUUACGUGCACUCUGGAGGUGAGUAAGAAAAAUAAAGAGUCCACACUAGAAUAUUAACAAUAAAAAACAACUCUUAAAAUCUAACAGGAUAAAAAACAAAUUACCUACAAAUCAGUGAUAGUUAAAAUGGCAUUCAUCUGUUCAUCAGCCACAACAGGUAUUAGAGACACUGUCAGUUUUUCUGCUACAUUUUGAAGGGAAUAAUUUAGGAUUGUAUACUCUGCUAAACUCUUGCUCCAAAUGAAGAACAAACUAGGGCCAGGGAUUUAGCUCAGUGGUUCCACCCCGGUACCAAAAAAAAAAAAAAGAACAAACUAACCACAUUUCCAAAUAUAUAAAGAUUAGAGGAUUACUACUCACAAAACCUCACUGAAAAAUUAUUAGGAAUAUAGUAACAAAAAAUAAAAUGAAUUAAGGAACAUAAUAGGAUCAAUAAAAAUAAGAUGAAAUAUUGGUAAAUUAAUUUGCUAAGUUUAAUUGAUUUUUUAAAAUGAGAUCAUUUUGUGUAUUUUUAACAGAUAAAUUCAAAACUUCCUAGAAAAAUAACUACAUAGGAGAAGGUAUUUAAUAGGUAGAUAAAGUGAAUUGAUGUCCUCAUUAUAUUGCAAAAAAAUAAAAAUUCUACAUAACUCUAGGUUUUUAUUUGAAACUUUCAGAUCUUAGUACGUGUAUUAAGUGGUUAAUGGUAAUCACUAAAAAAGUAGGAAUUGAAACUUUAGUUUCUUAAGCAGUAAGAAAAAAAUGAACAGUCACCAUUGGUGAAGAAUAGAGAACACAUGUCAAUGCAAAGAAAGCAGAAAUAAGAAAAAAGUGAAAUUGAAAAGCUCUUUAUGGGAAGACAUAAUACCUAAGGCAAGAUCCAUCAAAGAAAGAAUUGGUGAGGCCCGGGGAUGUAGCUCAGUGGUUCUGCCACCUGCCUCGCAAGUGCAAGGACCCGAGUUCAAUCCCCCAUACCAAAAAAAAAAAAGAAAAGAAAAGAAAGAAAGAAUUAGUCAGCUGGAUUUCAUUGAAAUUCAGAUGUUCUGCUCUACAAGAGACACUGUCAAGAGAAAGAAACAAGUGGCCUCAUGCAGCUUUAACAAGAUCCCUGAAGAAUUCAAUUGAAAGAGAUAAAAUAAUGUGUGUAUGCACAUUAUGAGUAGAUGAGAGCCAGUGCCAAAGUAUUUUCUAGAUAUUUUAAGGGAAUUUAAACAGCAAGCAUUGUUUCAUGCUGAGUCUUCAGUGCAAACAAAAUGCAAGCAUUUUGGGAACCUAUGUAUACAAAGUCAUCAGAUAUUUGGACUGUAAAAUUUAUCAAACAUUUAACUAUAAAACAAAGCCAAAAAGUGUCUGUGACAGAGUUCCAAGGCAUCCUUGAAAAAUACCUUACUCAGUAAGUGUUUCUCAUGUGUUUUUUGCAAUACAUUAGCUAAUAAGAAAUUUAUACUUUGGAAGAUUUAGUUGUCCCAUCCAUGUACUUUAGCUGUAUCUUUGACCACUAAACAUCACAUUAACUACAAAAUAUGAAAGACAAUUAGUGUUACCAAUGUUACUACAUUCACAUUGCUAAUGUUUUAUGGAUGGUCACAAACAAAGAGAAAUUUAUAAUGAAGAAACCAAACUUUCCUCCCUUUUAUAAGUAAGGUGACUAUUAUGAGUACUUAAUAAUUAAAAUAGGAAUCAUAAAUGGAAAUAAAACAUGAGUUGUUGGCUUUGAAAAAGAGACAAGUGGAGGUGAGGACCCCAGUUUAUAUUAUGGAGUAAACUGAAUGUUUUUCUCCCAAGAUAGGCUUUCAAAAAUGUUAGAACCUAGGAUAAGUUGUUGGCCACCACCCAUAAAUGUUAGCAAGGAAGAAAUUUUAAAGAGGAGGUGCUUUGUGCUGAGCAUUUCUUGAAGUCAAAAUCUCACUGAAUUAUUGAAGAGGAAGACAGAAGUGAAACUUGAAAAUGUGUUUGUAUAUGUGUGUAUAAAAUGAUGCAUGGCUUUGGAAAAAAAAAAAAAGAAAGAAGUCGCAAACUGGGAAAGUAGGCGACUAAACAAAUAUUUGCAAAAGACAAAACACAUAUAGGACUUACAUGCAAAAUAUACAAAGAAGGGGCCGGGGAUUUAGCCCAGUGAUUCUGCCCCCUGCCUUGCAAGCACAAGGUCCCAAGUUCGAUCCCCAGUACCAAAAAAAAAAGAAUAUACAAAAUACCUGACAUACACAACUUAAAGGAGAAAAGAUUCAUUUUGGCUCAUGGUUUCAGAGAUUUUUGGCAGAGCAAAAGAAAGUGGCUCACGGCAGUCAGGAAACAAGGGAAAAGCCAGAGAGAGAAGACCCCAGGGACAAGAAAAUACCCUUCAAAAGUAAGCUUCCAGGGCCAGGUAUUUAGCUCAGUGGUUCCACCCCCUGAUUCUCAAGCACAAGGUCCCAAGUUCGAUUCCCUGUACCAAAAAAAAAAAAAAGCAAGCUUCCAGUGACCUACUUCCUCCAACCAGGCUCCACCUACUACCAGCACAUUCAGCUAUGAAUUCACCAGUGGAUUGAUCCAUGAUAAGGUGAGUGGUUUCAUGAUCCAAUCACCUGAAAACUCCAGCUCUAAACACAAGAUUUUGGAGGACAUUUUAGAUCUAAACCAUAUAAAUCAACAAUGAAGCCAGGUGUGGUGGCAUAUGCCUGUAAUCUCAGCACUCGGGAGGCUGAGGCAGGAGGAUUGCCAUAAGCUCAAGGCCAGCCUGGGGUACAUAGUGAGUUCAGGGCCAGUCUGAACUACAAAGCAAGACCCUGUCUCAAAAAAAUAAAAUAAAAACAACAAUGAGAAAACAACAUGCUUCGAAAAUGGGCCAAAGGUCUUAGAAGGUACUUCAAACAGAAGUUGGCAAAUAAAUAUAUGAGAAAAUGUUCCAAAGUCAUCAAGAUACUGCAAAUUAGAACAAUGUGAGAAACUACUACAUAUCUAUUAAAAUAGCCAAAAGCCAGAACAGUGACAUCACCAAAUGCUGAUGAGAACAUCAGGCAACAGGAACUCUUCAUGUAUUGCUGGUGGGGAUGCAAAACAGUACAGCCACUUUAAAAGACAGUGGGUUGGUUUCUUACCAAAGUAAGCAUGCUUUCACCAUAUUGAUCCAGUAGGUCUGCUCCUUGGUAUUUAACCUAUUUAACCAAAGCAGUUAAAAAUAUAUCCACAAGAGCCUGCACAUGGAUGUUUACAGCAGCUUUGUUCAUAAUUAUCAAAGUAUAAAGGCAGCAAAGAUGCCCUUCAGUAGGCAAGUGGAUAAGUAAACUGAAGCAGAGCCAAACAAUGUGAUAUGAUGCAGUGCUAAAAAAGAAACAAGCUACCAAGCCAUGAAAAGACAUGGAAGAAACCCAAAGACAUAUUACUAAGUGAAAGAAACCAAUGUAAAAAGGAAGUAUACUGUAUGCUUCCAACUAUGUGACAUUCUGGAAAAGGCAAAACUAUGGAGAUAGUAAAACAAUCAGUGGUUGCCAGAGUUAGGGAGGAAGAUAUGAUUAAUAGGGUAGAUGAUGUUUAGGAGUGUGUCAUCUUUCUAUUAUACUACAAUAGUGGAUAAAUGUCAUUAUAAAUUAAUCUUAGGGCCAGGGAUUUAGCUCAGUGGUUUCACUGCCUGCUGCGCAAGUGCAAGGACCGGAGUUCAAUCCCGGUACCAAAAGAAACCCCAAAAAACAACAAAAAAAAUAAAUUAAUCUUAAUCUUGGGUCUCAUGACAUGAGAAGUUUCCUCUGCCAUGCCUCUCUGCCAUUCUAUUUCUUUUUUGGAGCCUGCCAACCUUGGAGUGAAAUACGAGAAAAUAAACCUCAUUUUCUUUAAGCUGCAGGUAUCAGGUAUUGUGUCUCAGCAACAAGAAAGUGACUAAGACAUUUGGGAACUACCUUAGUUACUUUUCUGAUUACUGAGACAAAAUACCUGAAACACAAAGUUAAAGGAGGAAAGGUUUAUUUAUCUCACAGUCUGUAGAGGUUUCAGUCCAUAGUCAGCUGGCUCUAAGGCAGGGUGGCAUGGCAGACAGGUAUCACAGAGGAGAAAGAGUUCAUGGCAGGCAGAAGGUAGCAAAGCAAGCAAGCCACAAGCAAUAAGACACUUUCUGUCCCUUCUGUCUUAUCCAAGCUACCUGCCCUUAGGGUGGGUAACAUUCACACACUUUAUCCUAGCACCCUUAAUCCUAGCAUUGCACUAUGAAUCAGUCCCAGCAUGACAUCCUUGAUCCCAGUAGAACUAUGCCAAACCAAUCAGUGGAGUAACUUAGUAAUCACACACUCUACUUCCAGCCACCUCUAUAAACCCCCACCUAUGACUGCAUGAGG